UGUUGUAGAGAUUGGAUUUCUCUCAAAACCCACCAAAUGACUCCUCUCACCAUAUUAUGUUGUUCCCCAAGUUGUGGACUCAAUUCUAUAUCAAUUGGUCCAUGAAAUUGGACAAUUCAGGUUACUACGAAGUUCGUUGUGAAAUGCAGGGGUCGGUGUAUUGCAUAGUUUUAGGCAUUGGAUUUCACUCAAAAGUCACCAAAUGACUCCUCCCAUCAUAUUAUGAUGUUCCCCAAGUUUUGAACUCAAUCCGAUAUCGAUUGCUCCACGAAAUUGGACAAUUCAGGUUCGUACGAAGUUUGUUAUGAAAUGGAGUGGUUGGUGUAUUGCAUAGUUGUAGAGAUUGCAUUUCUCUCAAAACACACCAAAUGACUCCUCCCACCGUAUGGUUUGUAUAUUAUCUUGUUCCCCAAGUUUUGGACUAAAUCUGAUAUCGAUUGGUUUAUGAAAUUGGACAAUUUCGGUUCGUACGAAGUUCGUUCUGAAAUGGAGUGGAGGGUGUAUUGCAUAGUUCUAGAGACUGUAUUUCUCUCAAAACCCACGAAAUGACUCCUCCCACCAUAUUAUGAUGUUCCCCAAGUUUUGGACUCAAUCCGAUAUCGAUUGGUCCAUGAAAUUGGACAAUUCAGGUUCGUACGAUGUUCGUUCUGAAAUGGAGUGCUUGGUGUAUUGCAUAGUUUGAGCCAUCGGAAUUUACUCAAAAGUCACCAAAUGACUCCACCCACUAUAUUAUGUUGUUUCCCAAGUUUUGGACUCAAUCCAAGAUCGAUUGGUCCAUGAAAUUGGAAAAUUCAGGUUCAUACGAAGUUCGUUCUAAAAUGGAGUGGUUGGUGUAUUGCAUAGUUUUACACAUUGAAUUUCACUCAAAAGCCACCAAAUGACUCUACCCACCGAAGUAUGUUGUUCCCCAAGUUUUGGACUCAAUCCGAUAUCGAUUAGUCCAUCAAAUUGGACAAUUCACGUUCGAACGAAGUCCAUUCUAAAAUGGGCUGGUUUGUGUAUUUUGAAGUUUUAGCCGUUGGAUUUCACUCAAAAGUCACCAAAUGACUCCUCCCACCAUAUUAUGAUGUUCCCCAAGUUUUGGACUCUAUCUGAUAUUGAUUGGUCCACGAAAUUGAAUAAUUCAGGUUCGUACGAAGUUCGUUACGAAAUGGAGUGGUUGGUGUAUUGCAUAGUUGUAGAGAUUGGAUUUCACUCAAAACCCCUCGAAAUGACUCAUCCCACCGUAUUAUGAUGAUCCCCAUGUUUUGGAGUCAAUCUGAUAUCGAUUGGUCCAUGAAAUUGGACAAUUCAGGUUCGUACGAAGUUCGUUAUGAAAUGGAGUGGUUGGUGUAUUGCAUUGUUGUAGAGAUUGAAUUUCACUCAAAACCCACCAAAUGACUCCUCCCACCAUAUUAUGUUGUUGACCAAGUUGUGGACACAAUUCGAUAUCGAUUGGUCCAUGAAAUUGGACAAUUCAGGUUAGUACGAAGUUCGUUGUGAAAUUUAGUGGUUGGUGUAUUGCAUAGUUCUAGCAAUUGGAUUUCACUCAAAUUUCACCAAAUGACUCCUCCCAUCAUAUUAUGAUGUUCCCCAAGUUUUGAACUCAAUCCGAUAUCGAUCGGUCGACGAAAUUGGACAAUUCAGGUUCGUACGAAGUUUGUUAUGAAAUGGAGUGGUUGGUGUAUUGCAUAGUUGUAGGGAUUGGAUUUCUCUCAAAACACACCAAAUGACUCCUCCCACCGUAUGGUUUGUAUAUUAUCUUGUUCCCCAAGGUUUGGACCAAAUCUGAUACCGAUUGGUUUAUGAAAUUGGACAAUUUGGUUCGUACGAAGUUCGUUCUAAAAUGGAGUGGAGGGUGUAUUGCAUAAUUCUAGAGACUGUAUUUCUCUCAAAACCCACGAAAUGACUCCUCCCACCAUAUUAUGAUGUUCCCCAAGUUUUGGACUCAAUCCGAUAUCGAUUGGUCCAUGAAAUUGGACAAUUCAAGUUCGUACGUAGUUCGUUGUGAAUUGGAGUGGUUGGUGUAUUGCAUAGUGUUAGCCAUUGGAUUUCAUUCAAAAGCCACCAAAUGACUCCUCCCAUCAUGUUAUGAUGUUCCCCAAGUUUUGAACUCAAUCCGAUAUCGAUUGGUCCACGAAAUUGGACAAUUCAGAUUUGUACGAAGUUUGUUAUGAAAUGGAGUGGUUGGUGUAUUGCAUAGUUUUACCCAUUGGAUUUCACUCAAAAGCCACCAAAUGACUCUACCCACCGUAGUAUGAUGUUCCCCACGUUUUGGACUCAAUCCGAUAUUGAUUGGUCCAUGCAAUUGGACAAUUCACGUUCGAACGAAGUUCGUUACGAAAUGGAGUGGUUGGUGUAUUGCAUAGUUGUAGAGAUUGGAUUUCACUCAAGACCCACGAAAUGACUCCUCCCAUCGUAUUAUGACGAUCCCCUGGAGUCAAUCCGAUAUCGAUUGGUCCAUCAAAUUGGACAAUUCAGGUUCGUACGAAGUUCGUUAUGAAAUGGAGUAGUUGGUGUAUUGCACAGUUGUAGAGAUUGGAUUUCACUCAAAACACACCAAAUGACUCCUCCCCACCAUAUUAUGUUGUUCCCCAAGUUGUGGACUCAAUCCGAUAUUGAUUGGUCCAUGAAAUUGGCCAAUUGAGGUUCGUACGUAGUUCGUUGUGAAUUGGAGUGGUUGGUGUAUUGCAUAGUGUUAGCCAUUGGAUUUCAUUCAAAAGCCACCAAAUGACUCCUCCCAUCAUGUUAUGAUGUUCCCCAAGUUUUGAACUCAAUCCGAUAUCGAUUGGUCCACGAAAUUGGACAAUUCAGAUUUGUACGAAGUUUGUUAUGAAAUGGAGUGGUUGGUGUAUUGCAUAGUUUUACCCAUUGGAUUUCACUCAAAAGCCACCAAAUGACUCGACCCACCGAAGUAUUAUGUUCCCCAAGUUUUGGACUCAAUCCGAUAUCGAUUGGUCCAUGAAAUUGGACAAUUCACUUUCGAAUGAAGUCCGUUCUGAACUGGGCUGGUUUGUGUAUUUUGAAGAUUUAGCCAUUGGAUUUCACUCAAAAGUCACCAAAUGACUCCUCCCAUCAUAUUAUGAUGUUCCCCAAGUUUUGGAGUUAAUCCUAUAUCGAUUGGUCCAUGAAAUUGUACAAUUCAGGUUCGUACGAAGUUUGUUAUGAAAAAGGUGGUUGGUGUGUUGCAUAGUUGUAGAGAUUGGAUUUCACUCAAAACCAUCGAAUGACUCCGCCCACCAUAUUAUGAUGUUCCCUAAGUUUUGGACUCAAUUCGAUAUCGAUUGGUCCAUGAAAUUGGACAAUUCAGGCUCAUAAGAACUUCGUUCAAAAAUGGAGUGGUUGGUUUAUUGCAUGAUUUUACCCAUUUGAUUUCACUCAAAAGUCACCAAAUAACUCCACCCACCAUAUUAUGAUGUUCCCCACGUUCUCGACUCAAUCCGAUUUCGAUUGGUUCCUGAAAUUGGACAAUUCAGGUUCGUACGAAGUUUGUUCUGAAAUGGAGUGGUUGGUGUAUUGCAUAGUUUUAGCAGUUGGAUUUCACUCAAAAGUCACCAAGUGACUCCUCCCAUCAUAUUAUGAUGUUACCCAAGUUUUGAACUCAAUCCAAUAUCGAUUGGUCUAUGAAAUUGGACAAUUCUAGUUCGUUCGAAGUUCGUUAUGAAAUGGAGUGGUUGGUGUAUUGCAUAGUUGUAGAGAUUGGAUUUCACUCAAAACCCACCAAAUGACUCCUCCCAUCAUAUUAUGAUGUUUCCUAAGUUUUGGACUCAAUCCGAUAUCGAUUGGUCCAUGAAAUUGGACAAUUCAGGUUCGUACGAACUUCGUUCAGAAAUGGAGUGGUUGGUGUAUUGCGUGGUUUUACCCAUUUGAUUUCAAUCAAAAGUCACCAAAUGACUCCACCCACCAUAUUAUGAUGUUCCCCACGUUCUCGACUCAAUCUGAUAUCGAUUGGUCCCUGAAAUUGGACAAUUCAGGUUCGUACGAAGUUUGUUUUGAAAUGGAGUGGUUGGUGUAUUGCAUAGUUUUAGCCAUUGAAUUUCACUCAAAAGUCACCAAAUGACUCCACCCACGAUAUUAUGAUGUUUCCCAAGUUUUGGACUCAGUCCGAUGUCGAUUGGUCAAUGAAAUUGGGGAAUUCAGUGAUAAGGUCGUAAUUUCACACAUUUGCAUGCCUUCUUUUCUUAGUAAUUUUGUUUAGCUUCUCUUUAUUUUGAGUCUCUUACCUAUGUUUGUGUGUUUUGUAGGUUAAGACGGCAAGGUGAUGACAUUUGAUACAAUUCAUGCAUGUUAAGGGUUGAGUGGCACAAGAGGAAUAUGAGCUUAAAGACAAAGCCAAUUUGAGCCACACUCCUUGUCAGUCCAGUUUCGUAUGUCAUCUUGCAGGCCUCAUUUCAUCAACUUACACCGGUUGGAUGAGGAGGCAUCCUUGAUAGAAGUUGUUCCAAUGGGUGGCUAUUAUAACAUAUCCAAAUUGCAUCCCAAUUGGAUAAAUCUGGAGCCCUCAACACGUCAAAGACUGAAUCAAGUUCACAGAAAUGUCAUGUUGGCUGCCAUCACAUUUAUUGUGGCUACAUCCUUAGAGCCAUGUGCUACACAUGGGCAGCCACACAUGAGAGUCAAAUCAGCUCAGAAGCUCAGAAAUAUGAACAAAAGUCAAGCUUUCCAUAAAGAAACCAUACCAAAGCAUGUAUUUGGCAGCUGGAGCAGUUGGCAAGUAUGUCAGCUGGAGCAGUUGGCAAGUAUGGGCAGCUGGAGCAGUUGGGAGAAGCUAAGAGAGGUGUGCUUCAGCAGCCAAAGGGGGGGACGAAAUUGCACUCUAUAAAUAGAGAGCUGCACACUCAUUCAAGAGAAGGGGUCAGACACACACAUUCACUUCAUCCAUUAUUCUCACACACACACUCAGAUUCACCACAAAGAGAGAAGGGAGCUUGGAGCUUGGAGCUGUCCUGGGAACUUCCUUGUUGCCAUCAUCUAGUUCUUCUCCUCUCUUUAUCCUAUUUAUGUAUUUCUUAUUUUCUGUACUCAUAGUUAUGUCUAACUAAUCCAUUUAGUUAGGGCUUAGGAUGAAGCUCUAGUCAUGAAUAUUCAAUGUUAUGGAUGAUUUUAUAGUUAAUUGAUUUCCUUGCUUUUAUUAUCAAGUUUUUAAUCUCUAGUUUAUUAUGUGCUUGAUGUAUGUUUUCUUGGAGUAGCUAACUAGGAUUUUAUGCAUCUAGCACAGGUUGGGAAGGGGUUUAGAUUCACCAAUUCUACUUUCCUUUCACAAGCAACACAUGAAUGGUCUAAGAAUCAUUCAAGGUUAAUAACCAUAGGUUGACUAGGACAGAUACCAUGUUCUAGGACUUGUGUGAUUAUCAUAUUCUCAAGGAGCUUAAUGACUCUUGUAUGCUUUAUUUUAAGUAGAUACCAUGCUUAGGUUGCAUAUUAGAGAUCACGUGUUGUGUAGAUACCAUGCAUAAUCACAUGCCUUAGGAGAAUCAUGCAUCCUGCACCUAGAUACCAUAGGCUUGUAUGCGAUAAUCUAUUGUUGAUGAAUCUUGAGUCAAUUUCUAUGCAUUCAUAACUUGGAUAGGAAAACUAGUGGUGGAUUCCAAGGCUCUAACACCUCUCAAUCAUUGUUUCACAACUUGUUGAUUGCUGCCAGUGUUCACUUUCGAGCACUUUCAUUUCACUUUCUUCUUUUCCUUUCAACAACAAAACCCCCCAUUUCGAGUGCGUGUCUGAUGCUAGGAUUCUGUCCUAGACCUUGAGUAAUUAGCAAGAGGCAUUGUUGAAUUCAACCUUGCCUUUAGCUAGUUAGUCAGUUUCUUUGUUCUAAGUUUUUCUAGCAUUCUAAGUAAUUUAACUUGGAACCAAGUUAACAUUCUCCGUGGGAUCAACCUCGUAUUUGCAUAAACUAUACUAUAAAUGGUUUGUGCACUUGCGAGAAUUAAAGUUGCUGUUUUUAAUAACUCAUUUUAGUUGUUAAGAACUGGCUCAACAUUCAGGUUCGUACGAAGUUCGUUAUGAAAUGGAGUGGUUGAUGUAUUGCAUAGUUGUAGAGAUUGGAUUUCACUCAAAACCCACCAAAUGACUCCUCCCACCGUGUUAUGAGGUUCCCCAAGUUUUGGACUCAAUCCGAUAUCAAUUGGUCCAUGAAAUUCGAAAAUUCAGGUUCGUACGAAGUGCGUUCUGAAAUGGAGUGGUUGGUGUAUUGUAUAGUUUUAGCCAUUGGAUUUCACUCAAAAGUCACCAAACAACUCUUCCCAUCAUAUUAUGAUGUUCCCCAAGUUUUGGACUGAAUCCGAUAUCGAUUGGUCCAUGAAAUUGGACAAUUCAAGUUCAUACGAAGUUCGUUAUGAAAUAGGGUGGUUAGGGUACUGCAUAGUUGUAGAGAUUGGAUUUCACUCAAAACCCACCAAAUGACUACUCCCACCAUAUUAUGAUGUUCCCCAAGUUUUGGACUCAAUUCGAUAUCGAUUGGUUCAUGAAAUUAGACAAUUCAGGUUCGUACGAAGUUCAUUCUGAAAUGUAGUGGUUGGUGUAUUGCAUAGUUUUACCCAUUGGAUUUCACUCAAAAUUCACCAAAUGACUCCACCCACCAUAUUAUGAUGUUCCCCAAGUUUUGGACUCAAUCCGAUAUCGACUGGUCAACGAAAUUGGGCAAUUCAUGUCCAUACGAAGUUCGUGAUGAAAUGGAGUGGUUAGUGUAUUGCAUAGUUAUAGAGAUUGGAUUUUACUCAAAAUCCACCAAAUGACGCCUCCCACCAUAAUAUGAUGUUCCACAAGUUUUGGACUCAAUUCGAUAUCGAUUGAUCCAUCAAAUUGGACAAUUCAGGUUCGUACGAAGUUCGGUAUGCAAUGGAGUGGUUGGUGUAUUGCACAGUUCUAGAGAUUGGAUUUCACUCAAAACCAACCAAAUGACUCCCCCCACCACAUUAUGAUGUUCCCCAAGUUUUGAACUCAAUCCGAUAUCGAUUGGUCCUUGAAAUUAGACAAUUCAGGUUCAUACGAAGUUCGUUAUGAAAUGGAGUGGAUGGUGUAGUGUAUAGGUUUGGCCAUUGGAUUUCACUGAGAAGUCACCAAACGUCUCCUCCCAUCGUAUUAUGAUGUUCCCCAAGUUUUGGACUCAAUCCGAUAUCGAUUGGUCCAUGAAAUUGGACAAUUCAGGUUCAUACGAAGUUCGUUAUGAAAUGGAGUGGUUGGUGUAUUGCAAAGUUGUAGAGAUUGGAUUUCACUCAAAACUGACCAAAGCACUCCUCCCACCCUAUUAAGAUGAUCCCCAAGUUUUGGACUCAAUUCGUUAACGAUUGCUCCAUGAAAUUGGACAAUUCAAGUUUGUACGAAGUUCAUUCUGAAAUGGAGUGGUUGGUGUAUUGCAUGAUUGUAGAGAUUGGAUUUCACUCAAAACCCACCAAAUGACUCCUCCCACCGUGUUACGAUGUUCCCCAAGUUUUGGACUCAAUUUGAUAUCAAUUGGUCGAUGAAAUUGGAAAAUUCAAGUUCGUACGAAGUUUGUUCUGAAAUGGAGUGGUUGGUGUAUUGCAUAGUUUCAGUCAUUGGAUUUCACUCAAAAGUCACCAAAUGACUCCUCCCAUCAUAUUAUGUUGUUCCCCAAGUUUUGGACUCAAUCCGAUAUCGAUUUGUCCAUGCAAUUGGACAAUUCAGGUUCGUACGAAGGUCGUUAUCAAAUGGUGUGGUUGGUGUAUUGCAUAGUUUUAGCCAUUGAAUUUCACUCAAAAGUCACCAAAUGACUGCUCCCACCAUAUUCUGAUGUUCCCGAAGCUUUGGAAUCAAUCCGAUAUCGAUUGGUUCACGAAAUUGGACAAUUCAGGUUCGUACGAAGUUCCUUCUAAAAUUGAGUGGUUAGUGUAUUAUAUAGUUGUAGGGAUUGGAUUUCACUGAAAACCCACCAAAUAAUUCCUCCGACCAUAUUAUGAUGUUCCCUAAGUUUUGGACUCAAUCCGAUAUCAAUUAGUCCAUGAAAUCGAACAAUUUAGGUUUGUACGAAGUUCGUUCUGAAAUGGCGUGGUUGGUGUAUUGCAUAGUUCUAGAGAUUGGAUUUCACUAAAAACCCACCAAAUGACUCCUCCGACUAAAUUAUGUUGUUCCCCAAGUUUUGGACUCAAUCCGAUAUCGAUUCGUCCAUGAAAGUAAACAAUUAAGGUUCGUAUGAAGUUCGUUCUGAAAUGGAGUGGUUGGUGUAUUGUAUAGUUUUAGCCGUUGGAUUUCACUGAAAACUCACCAAAUGACUCCUCCCACCAAAUUAUGAUGUUCCCCAAGUUUUAGACUCAUUCCGAUAUCGAUUGGUCCUUGAAAUUAGACAAUUCAGAUUCGUACGAAGUUCGUUUUGAAAUGGAGUGGUUGCUGUAUUGCAUAGUUCUAGAGAUUGGAUUUCACUCAAAACCCACCAAGUGAUUCCUCCCACAACAUUACGAGGUUCCCCAAGUUUCGUACUCAAUCCGACAACGAUUUGUAAAUGAAAUUGGACAGUUAUGGUUCAUUCUGAUUUCAUUGUUUUAGUCAUUGGAUUACGCUCAAAACCCACCGAAUGACUCCUCCCACAAUAUUAUGAGGUUCCCCAAGUUUUGGACUCAAUCUGAUAUCGUUUGGUCCAUGAAAUCGGACAAUUCAAGUUCCUACGAAGAUCGUUCUGAAAUGGAUUGGCAAUUGUAUUUCACUCAAAACUUACCAAAUGAGUCCUCCCACAACAUUAUGAUGUUCCUCAAGUUUUGGACUCAAUUCGAUAUCGUUCGUACGAAGUUCGUUCUUAAAUGGUGUGGUUGGUGUAUUGCAUAGUUCUAGAGAUUGGAUUUCACUCAAAACCCCACAAGUGACUCCUCCCACUAUAUUAUGAUAUUCCCCGAGUUUUGGACUCAAUCCCAUAUCGAUUAGUCCACGAAAUUGGACAAUUCAGGUUCGUAGGAAGUUCGUUCUGAAAUGGAGUGGUUGGUGUAUUGCAUAGUUCUGGGAAUUAGAUUUCACUUAAAACGCACCAAAUAACUCCUUCCACUAUAUUAUGUUGUUUCCCAAGUUUUGGCCUCUAUCCGGUAUCGAUUGGUCCAGGAAAUUGGACAAUUCAGAUUCAUACGAUGUUCGUUAUGAAAUGGGGUGGCUGGUGUAUUGCAUAGUUUUAGCGAGUGGAUUUCACUCAAAACUCAACCAAAUGACUCCUCCCACCAUAUUAUGAUGUUCUCCAAAGUUUUGGACUCAAGCCAAUAUCGAUUGAUAAAUGAAAUUGGACAAUUCAGGUUCGUAAGAAGUUCGUUUUGAAAUGAAGUGGUUGGUGUAUUGCAUUGUUUUAGCCACUGGAUAUCCCUCAAAACCCACCACAUGACUCCUCCCACAAUAUUGUAAUGUUCCCCAAGUUUUAGACUCAAUCCGAUAUCGUUUGGUCUAUGAAAUUGGACAAUUCAGGUUCGUACGAAGUUCGUUAUGAAAUGUAGUGGUUGGUGUGUUGUAUAGUUUUGGAGAUUGGAUUUUUUCUCAAAACCCACCAAAUGACUCCUCCCAUAAUAUUUUGAUCUUUCUCAAGUAUUGGACUCAAUCCGAUAUCGAUUGGUCCAUGAAAUUGGACAAUUCAAGUUUGUACGAAGUUCGUUUUGAAAUGGAGUGGUUGGUGUAUUGCAUAGUUUUAGCCAUUGGAUUUCACUCAAAACUUAACCAAUGACUCCUCCCACAAUAUUAUGUUGUUCCCCAAGUUUUGGACUCAAUCCGAUAUCGAUUGGUCCAUGAAAUCGGACAAUUCACGUUCGUACGAACUUCGUUCUGAAAUGGAGUGGUUGAUGUAUUGUAUAGUUUUAGCCAGUUGAUUUAACUCAAAGGUCACCAAAUGACUCCUCCCACCAUAUUAUGAUGUUCCCCAAGUUUGGAUACAAUCCGAUAUCGAUUGGUUAUUGUUUUCCUUCCAAGUGCCAAUAUAUGGUUAUUAUAGUGAUACAAGUAAGGAUGUCGAACCACAGGGACCGAUUGGACCUCCAUAAAUUAGUAGGUUUGAAAGAACCCUGACUAAAAAUGAAAGUGACAAUUUGGAAGUAGUUUUUGUGUUGUAAAUGAAAAAUAACUUAAAAUGCAAGAAGAAUGUAGUAUUGAAUGAUAUAUUGAUGUAGAAAGAAUAGGGAAGAGACCAGGGAUUUCGAAUUCACCAUUGCAAAACUAAUUCCAUGUUUAUAAAAUUAAACCGUACUCAACUACCAACCUGUUUCCAGAGUUCGUUUUAUAUAUGUAUGAUCAGCCAUAUGAUGCGUGGUUUUGAUCAAAUUCUCCUAAUCUGCAACCUAGUUGGGAUGUUCAACUUUGGUUCCAAGUUAAGAGUCAUUAGCAUGCAAGAAAACGUUAAAGAACCAAAGAAAAUACACAGCAUGAUGUUUGCAUAGCAUUCUCUUCAUUCAUUCACAUGUCUACCAAGAUUAAGCAUGAUGUUUACUAUAACCUUGUCUAGAUAAUCUGUAGGGGACUCUGAUGGUGAUCAAACAUUAAAAUUGACAAACAAAUUCAACAAUAGAUUCAGUGAAUGAAACAAGAAACAGAUUGAUGAACUGAAUACUUUAACUUAGAAACAUGGAUCAAUGUUGCAAGGCUACAUCGAAAUCCCUAGCUAUGAAUUUAGUUACACAUCAUGUUCACAGAGAUUAAAACAAAAAUAAACAACAUGAGUGAAAAUGAAUUCAAGAGAGGAAACCCUUAAACCAAUUCUGAUGUUGAACUUCUCCAAGAACCACCUCUUGCGCUCAGUCCUAAUGGUGGAAAUAUAUGGACGGCUAGGGUAUUAGUGUGCAUGAAAGGAGAGAAUAACCAAGAAGUGAGUGCUAGGGUUGUGAAAUUCGUCCAAAAUAAAUGGGGGUUUUAAAAGUGGCUAAAAGAGGUUGCAAGAUAUUCUAAAGAUAUCCUAACAAAUCAGCCUUAAUUGUGCCCGUUUUUGCCUUAUUUGGCACCUCUAAAUCUGGCUAGAAAUCCCCAUUCCUUUCCCAUUAUGCUCUUAGUCUUCAACCAAGCCAGGUUCGCCUUGGAUUCUUUAUUUGGACUUCAAAACAUGUCACGAAACUUGUUUCCAUGUUUGAAUAAGGGUCAGCUCCAAAAAUGCCAUGUUUUUAUUUCUUUUGCCUUCAACUUGAUCCUAAAGUAGAUGCAACUGCAUACUAACACAAAAUAGGGUAAAACACAACAAGUUUAACUCAAAAACACCACAAAUAGACUAGAAAUGGAUGAUAUAUAUGUAUAAAUAUAUGAGUUAUCAUUGGCCCAUGAAAUUGGACAAUUCACGUUAAUACGAAGUUCGUUCUGAAAUGUAGUGGUUGGUGUGUUGUUCUAGAGAUUGGAUUUCUCUCAAAACCCACAAAAUGACUCCUCCCACAAUAUUAAGAUGUUCCCCAGGUUUUGGGCUCAAUCCAAUAUCGAUUGGAUCAAGAAAUCGGACAAUUCAUGUUCGUAUGAAGUUCGUUCUAAAAUGGAUUGGUUGGUGUAUUGCAUAGUUUUGGCAUUUGAAUUUCACUCAAAACACAACAAAUAACUCCUCCCACAACAUUAUGAGGUUCCCCAAGUUUUGGACUUAGUUCGAUAUCGAUUGAUCCAUGAAAUCGGACAAUUCUAGUUCGUACGAAGUUCAUUCUAAAAUGGAGUGGUGGGUGUAUUGCCUAGUUCUCGAGAUUGGAUUUCACUCAAAACCCUCCUAAUGACUCCUCCCACAAUAUUGUGAUGUUCCCCAAGUAUUAGACUCAAUCCGAUAUCGAUUGGUCCAUGAAAUUGGACAAUUCAGGUUCGUACGAAGUUCGUUCUCAAAUGGAGUGCUUGGUGCAUUGUAUAGUUGUAAAGACUGGAUUUCACUCAAAACCCACCAAAUGAGUCCUCCCACUAUAUUAUGAUGUUCCACAAGUUUUGGACUCAAUGCGAUACCGAUUGGUCCAUGAAAUCAGACAAUUUAGGUUCGUACGAAGUUCGUUCUGAAAUGGAGUGGUUGGUGUACUACAUAGUUGCAGAGAUUGGAUUUCACCCAAAACCCAUCAAAUGACUCCUCCCACAACAUUAUGACGUUCCCCAAGUUUCGUACUCAAUCCGAUAUCGAUUGAUAAAUGAAAUUGGACAAUUCAGGUUCUUAUGAUGUUCGUUCUGAAAUGGAGUGGUGGGUGUAUUCCAUUGUUUUAGCCACUGGAUUUCCCUAAAAACCCACCAUAUGACUCCUCCCACAAUAUUGUGAUGUUCCCCAAGUUUUGGACUCAAUCCGAUAUCGUUUGGUCCACGAAAUUGGACAAUUCAGGUUCGUACGAAGUUCAUUUUGAAAUGUAGUGGUUGGUGUGUUGUAUAGUUCUGGAGAUUGGAUUUCUCUCAAAACCCACCAAAUGGCUCCUUCCACAAGAUUAUGACGUUUCUCAAGUAUUGGACUCAAUCCGAUAUCGAUUGGUCCUUGAAAUUAGACAAUUCAAGUUCGUACGAAGUUCGUUUUGAAAUGGAGUGGUUGGUGUAUUGAACAGUUUUAGCCACUGGAUUUCAUUCAAAACUCACCAAAUGACUCCUCCCACCAUAUUAUGAUCUUCCCCAAGUUUGGACUGAAUUUGAUAUCGAUUGGUCCUUGAAAUUGGACAAUUCACGUUUGUACGAAGUUCGUUCUGAAAUGUAGUGGUUGGUGUGUUGUAUAGUUCUAGAGAUUGGAUUUCUCUCAAAACCCACCAAAUGACUCCUCCCACAAUAUUAUGAUGUUCCCCACAUUUUGGGCUCAAUCCAAUAUCGAUUGGUCUAAGAAAUCGGACAAUUCAAGCUCCUACGAAGUUCGUUCUAAAAUGGAUUGGUUGGUGUAUUGUAUAGUUUUGGCAUUUGGAUUUCACUAAAAACUCAACAAAUGACUCCUCCCACAACAUUAUGAGGUUCCCCAAGUUUUGGACUUAGUCCGAUAUCAAUUGAUCCGUGAAAUCGGACAAUUCUUGUUCGUACGAAGUUCAUUCUGAAAUGCAGUGGUGGGUGUAUUACAUAGUUCUAGAGAUUGGAUUUCACUCAAAACCCUCUGAUGACUCCUCCCACAAUAUUGUGAUGUUCCCCAAGUUUUGGACUCAAUCCGAUAUCGAUUGGUCCAUGAAAUUGGACAAUUCAGGUUCUUACGAAGUUCGUUCUGAAAUGGAGUGCUUGGUGCGCUAUAUAGUUGUAGAGACUGAAUCUCACUCAAAACCCACCAAAUGAGUCCUCCCACUAUAUUAUGAUGUUCCCCAAGUUUUGGACUCAAUCCGAUAUCGAUUGGCCCCUGAAAUUGGACAAUUCAGGUUCGUACGAAGUUCGUUAUGAAAUGGAGUGCUUGGUGCAUUGUAUAGUUGUAGAGACUGGAUUUCACUCAAACCCACCAAAUUAGUCCUCCCACUAUAUUAUGAUGUUCCCCAAGUUUUGGACUCAAUGCAAUAUUGAUUGGUCCAUGAAAUCAGAUAAUUCAGGUUUGUACGAAGUUCGCUAUGAAAUGGAGUGGUUGGUGUGCUGUAUAGUUGUAGAGAUUGGAUUUCACUCAAAACCCAUCAAAUGACUCCUUCCACAACAUUAUGAUGUUCCCCAAGUUUCGUACUCAAUCCGAUGUCGAUUGAUAAAUGAAAUUGAACAAUUCAGGGUACUUAAGAAGUUCGUUCUAAAAUGGAUUGGUGGGUGUAUUGUAUUGUUUUAGCCAUUGAAUUUCCUUCAAAACCCACCACAUGACUCAUCCCACAAUAUUGUGAUGUUCCGCACGUUUUGAACUCAAUUCGAUAUCGUUUGGUCCACGAAAUUGGACAUUCAGGUUCGUACGAAGCUCGUUCUAAAAUGUAGUGGUUGGUGUGUUGUAUAGUUCUGGAGAUUGGAUUUUUCUCAAAACCCAGCAAAUGGCUCCUCCCACAAUAUUAUGAUGUUUCCCAAGUAUUGGACUCAAUCUGAUAUCGAUUGGUCCCUGAAAUUGGAUAAUUCAAGUUCGUACGAAGUUCGUUUUGAAAUGGAGUGGUUGGUGUAUUGAAUAGUUUUAGCCACUGGAUUUCACUCAAAACUCCCCAAAUGACUCCUCCCACCAUAUUAUGAUCUUCCCCAAGUUUGGACUCAAUCUGAUAACGAUUGGUCCUAGAAAUUAGACAAUUCACGAUCGUACGAAGUUCGUUCGAAAAUGUAGUGGUUGGUGUGUUGUAUAGUUCUAGAGAUUGGAUUUCUCUCAAAACCCACCAAAUGACUCCUCCCAAAAUAUUAUGAUCUUCCCCAGGUUUUGGGCUCAAUCGAAUAUCGAUUGGUCCAAGAAAUCGAACAAUUCAAGUUUGUACGAAGUUCGUUCUAAAAUGGAUUGGUUGUUGUAUUGCAUAGUUUGGGCAUUUGGAUUUCACUCAAAACUCAACAAAUGACUCCUCCCACAACAUUAUGAGGUUCCCUAGGUUUUGGACUUAGUCCGAUAUCGAUUGAUCCGUGAAAUCGGACAAUUCAUGUUUGUAGGAGGUUCUUUCUGAAAUAGAGUGGUGGUUGCAUUGUAUAGUUGUAGAGACUGGAUUUCACUCAAAACCCACCAAAUUAGUCCUCCCACUAUAUUAUGAUGUUCUCCAAGUUUUGGACUCAAUGCAAUAUCGAUUGGUCUAUGAAGUUCGUGAUGAAAUGGAGUGGUUGGUGUACGGUAUAGUUGUAGAGAUUGGAUUUCACUCAGAACCCAUCAAAUGACUCCUCCCACAACAUUAUGAUUUCCCCCAAGUUUCGUACUCAAUCCGAUAUCAAUUGAUAAAUGAAAUUGGACAAUUCAGGUACUUAAGAAGUUCGUUCUGAAAUGUAGUGGUUGGUGCGUUGCAUAGUUCUAGAGAUUGGAUUUCACUCAAAACCCACCAAAGGGCUCCGCCCAUAACAUUAUGAGGUUCCCCAAGUGUUGGACUUAGUCCGAUAUCGAUUGAUCCAUGAAAUCGGACAAUUCUAGUUCGUACGAAGUUCAUUUUGAAAUGGAGUGGUGGGUGUAUUGCAUAGUUCUAGAGAUUGGAUUUCACUCAAAACCCUCCUAAUGACUCCUCCCACAAUAUUGUGAUGUUCCCCAAGUUUUGGACUCAAUCCGAUAUCGAUUGGUCCAUGAAAUUGGACAAUUCAGGUUCGUACGAAGUUCGUUCUGAAAUGGAGUGCUUGGUGCACUGUAUAGUUGUAGAGACUGGAUUUCACUCAAAACCCAGCAAAUGAGUCCUCCCACUGUGUUAUGAUGUUCCCCGAGUUUUGGACUCAAUGCGAUAUCGAUUCGUCCAUGAAAUCAAACAAUUCAGGUUUGUACGAAGUUCAUUAUGAAAUGGAGUGGUUGGUGUGCUGCAUAGUUGUAGAGAUUGGAUUUUACUCAAAACCCAUCAAAUGACUCCUCCCACAAUAUUACGAUGUUCCCCAAGUUUCGUACUCAAUCCUAUAUCGAUUGAUAAAUGAAAUUGGACAAUUCAUGUACUUAAGAAGUUCGUUCUGAAAGGAAGUGGUUGCGGUGUUGCAUAGUUCUAGAGAUUGGAUUUCACUCAAAACCCACCAAAUAGCUCCUCCCACAACAUUAUAAGGUUCCCCAAGUUUUGGACUUAGUCCGAUAUCGAUUGAUCCAUGAAAUCGGACAAUUCUAGUUCGUACGAAGUUCAUUCUGAAAUGGAGUGGUGGGUGUAUUGCAUAGUUCUGGAGAUUGGAUUUCACUCAAAACCCACCAAAUGACUCCUCCCCCCAUAUUAUGAUGUUCCCCAAGUUUUCGACCGAAUCCGAUAUCAAUUGGCCCAUGAAAUUGGACAAUUCAGGUUCGUACGAAGUUCCUUAUGAAAUGGAGUGGGUGGCGUAUUGCAUAGUUUUACCCAUUGGAUUUCAUUCAAAACGCACCAAAUGACUCCUCCCAUCAUAUUAUGAUGUUUCCCAAGUUUUGGACUGAAUCCGAUAUCGAUUGGUCCAUGAAAUUGGACAAUUCAGGUUCGUACAAAGUUCGUUCUUAAAUGGAGUGGUUUGUGUAUUUCAAAGUUUUAGCCAUUGGCUUUCACUCAAAAGCGACCGAAUGACUCUUCCCACCAUAUUAUGAUGUUCCCCAAGUUUUGGACUCAAUCCGAUAUCGAUUGAUCCAAGAAAGUGGACAAUUCAUGUUCGUACGAAGUUCGUUAUGAGAUGGAGUGGUUGGUGUAUUGUAUCGUUUUAGCCACUGGAUUUCACUCAAAAUUCACAAAAUGACCCCUCCGAAGAUAUUAUGAUGUUCCCCAAGUUUUGGACUCUAUCCGAUAUCGAUUGGUCCAUGAAAUUGGACAAUUCAGGUUCGGACAAAGUUCGUUACGGAAUAGAGUGGUUGGUGUAUUGCGUAGUUUUAGCCAUUGAAUUUCAUUCAAAAGGCACCAAAUGACUCCACCCACCAUAUUAUGAUGUUCCCCAAGUUUGGGACUCAAUCCGAUAUUGAUUGGUCAAUGCAACUGGGCAAUUCAGGUUCGUACAAAGUUCGUUAUGAAAUGGAGUGGUUGGUGUAUUGCAUAGUUGUAGAGAUUGGAUUUCGCUAAAAACCGACGAAGUGACUCCUUCCACCGUAUUAUGAUGAUCCCCAAGUUUUCGGCUCAAUCCGAUAUCGAUUAGUUCAUGAAAUUGGACAAUAUUAGGUUCGUACGAAGUUCGUUAUGAAAAGGAGUGGAUGGUGUAUUGCAUGGUUCUAGAGAUUGGAUUUCACUCAAAACCCACCAAAUGACUCCUCCCACCAUAUUAUGAUGUUCCCCAAGUUGUGGGCUCAAUCCGAUAUUGAUUGAUCCAUGAAAUUGGACAAUUCUGGUUCGUACGAAGUUCGUUAUGAAAUGGAGUGGUUGGUGUAUUGCAUAGUUGUAGAGAUUGGAUUUCACUCAAAACCCACCAAAUGACUCCUCCCACCAUAUUAUGAUGUUCCCCAGGUUUUGGACACAAUCCCAUAUCGAUUGGUCCAUGAAAUUGGAAAAUUCAGGUUUGUACGAAAUUCAUUCUAAAAUGGGGUGGUUUGUGUAUUGAUGUUUUAGCCAUUGGAUUUCACUCUCAAGUCACCAAAUGACACCUCCCACCAUAUUAUGAUGUUCCCCAAGUUUUGGACUCAAUCCGAUAUCAAUUGGUCCAUGAAAUUCGACAAUUCAGGUUCGGGCGAAGUUCGUUACAGAAUGGAGUGGUUGGUGUAUUGCGUAGUUUUAGCCAUUGAAUUUCAUUCAAAAGUCACCAAAUGACUCCUCCAACCAUAUUAUGAUGUUCUCCAAGUUUUGGAAUUAAUCUGAUAUCGAUUGGUCCCUGAAAUUGGACAAUCCAGGUUCAUACGAAGUUCGUUCUGAAAUGGAGUUGUUUGUGUAUUGCAUAGUUUUAUCCAUCGGAUUUCACUCAAAAGUCACCAAAUGACUCCACACACCAUAUUAUGAUGUUCCCCAAGUUUGGGACUCAAUCCGAUAUCGAUUGGUCAAAGAAAUUGGGCAAUUCAGGUUCUUACUAAGUUCGUUAUGAAAUGGUGUGGUUGGUGUAUUGCAUAGUUGUAGAUAUUGGAUUCCGCUAAAAACCGACGAAAUGACUCCUCCCACCGUAUUAUGAUGAUCCCCAAGUUUUGGACUCAAUCCAAUAUCGAUUGGUCCAUGAAAUUGGAAAAUAUUAGGUUCGUACGAAGUUCGUUAUGAAAAGGAGUGGUUGGUGUAUUGCAUGGUUCUAGAGAUUGGAUUUCACUCAAAACCCACCAAAUGACUCCUCCCACCAUAUUAUGAUGUUCCCCAAGUUGUGGACUCAAUCCGAUACUGAUUGAUCCAUGAAAUUGGAUAAUUCUGGUUCGUACGAAGUUCGUUAUGAAAUGGAGUGGUUGGUGUAUUGCAUAGUUGUAGAGAUUGGAUUUCACUCAAAACCCACNNNNNNNNNNNNNNNNNNNNNNNNNNNNNNNNNNNNNNNNNNNNNNNNNNNNNNNNNNNNNNNNNNNNNNNNNNNNNNNNNNNNNNNNNNNNNNNNNNNNNNNNNNNNNNNNNNNNNNNNNNGUGUAUUGCAUAGUUCUAUCCAUCGGAUUUCACUCAAAAGUCACCAAAUGACUCCACACACCAUAUUAUGAUGUUCCCCAAGUUUGGGACUCAAUCCGAUAUCGAUUGGUCAAAGAAAUUGGGCAAUUCAGGUUCUUACUAAGUUCGUUAUGAAAUGGUGUGGUUGGUGUAUUGCAUAGUUGUAGAUAUUGGAUUCCGCUAAAAACCGACCGAAAUGACUCCUCCCACCGUAUUAUGAUGAUCCCCAAGUUUUGGACUCAAUCCAAUAUCGAUUGGUCCAUGAAAUUGGAAAAUAUUAGGUUCGUACGAAGUUCGUUAUGAAAAGGAGUGGUUGGUGUAUUGCAUGGUUCUAGAGAUUGGAUUUCACUCAAAACCCAC
This 18236-nucleotide long non-coding RNA is filed under the name Prunus persica (peach). RNAcentral's name for it is "long non-coding RNA (PPER_LNC005250)". Lineage: Eukaryota; Viridiplantae; Streptophyta; Magnoliopsida; Rosales; Rosaceae. The record is from RNAcentral.